This 496-nucleotide ribosomal RNA is filed under the name uncultured bacterium. RNAcentral's name for it is "partial 16S ribosomal RNA". It matches the Rfam family "Bacterial small subunit ribosomal RNA", at positions 28 to 506 of the family's 1533-position model. The record is from RNAcentral.
GAUGAACGCUGGCGGCGUGCCUAAUACAUGCAAGUCGAGCGAACGGACGAGAAGCUUGCUUCUCUGAUGUUAGCGGCGGACGGGUGAGUAACACGUGGAUAACCUACCUAUAAGACUGGGAUAACUUCGGGAAACCGGAGCUAAUACCGGAUAAUAUUUUGAACCGCAUGGUUCAAAAGUGAAAGACGGUCUUGCUGUCACUUAUAGAUGGAUCCGCGCUGCAUUAGCUAGUUGGUAAGGUAACGGCUUACCAAGGCAACGAUGCAUAGCCGACCUGAGAGGGUGAUCGGCCACACUGGAACUGAGACACGGUCCAGACUCCAACGGGAGGCAGCAGUAGGGAAUCUUCCGCAAUGGGCGAAAGCCUGACGGAGCAACGCCGGGGGAGUGAUAAAGGUCUUCGGAUCGUAAAACCCUGUUAUUAGGGAAGAACAUAUGUGUAAGUAACUGUGCACAUCUUGACGGUACCUAAUCAGAAAGCCACGGCUAACUACGU